GCAUACCUUCAAGAUAGUCGACAUCUGCUGAAUGGGGUGUUUCUAUUUUAUUUGAUGCAUAUAUUAUCUUUCUCAAUUCUGUGGCGUCGUGUAUGUUUUGUCAACUUCUGAAUUAAGAAGCAGUUGCUGGUUUGGAAGUAUCUAUUGAAUUUAUUCUGACAUCAGUAAAUUGAUGCAGGCAUGUAAUGCUCAUGGUCUACAUUGCGUUCCUUUGUACGACACCUUAGGUGCUGGGGCUGUGGAGUUUAUCAUAUGUCAUGCUGAGGUUACCAUUGCCUUUGUUGAAGAGAAAAAAAUUCCUGAGUUACUCAAAACCUUUCCAAAUGCAACAAAAUACUUAAAAACAAUUGUGAGUUUUGGGAAAGUUACCUCUCAACAGAAGGACGAAAUCGAGAAAUUUGGUGUGGUUGUGUAUGCUUGGGAUGAAUUUUUGUUAUUGGGUGAAAAUAAGAACUAUGACCUUCCACUGAAACGCAAAAAGCGACAUCUGUACAAUAAUGUAUACUAGUGGAACAACUGGAGAUCCUAAGGGUGUCAUGAUUUCAAAUAAUAGUAUUGUCACUCUCAUUGCUGGAGUGAAGCGUUUGCUAGUUAGCGUGAACGAAUCGUUGACUGUAAAUGAUGUCUAUCUGUCUUAUCUUCCUUUGGCACAUAUCUUUGACCGUGUGAUUGAAGAAUGUUUUAUUAAUCAUGGAGCCUCAAUAGGAUUUUGGCGUGGGGAUGUCAAAUUGUUAGUUGAAGACAUUGGGGAGCUAAAGCCAACCAUCUUUUGUGCAGUUCCUCGGGUUCUAGAUAGAAUUCACUCAGGCUUGCAACAGAAGAUAUCGGCAGGAGGUUUCAUAAAACAAACGAUGUUUAAUUUUGCAUAUGCCUACAAGUUGCGUAAUUUGAGGAAGGGGCUUAAGCAUGAUGAGGCAGCUCCUAUCUGUGACAAAAUCGUUUUCAGCAAGGUUAAACAAGGUUUAGGUGGGAAAGUACGGCUUAUUUUAUCUGGAGCAGCUCCCCUUGCUUCACAUGUUGAAGAAUAUCUAAGAGUGGUAUCUUGUGCUCAUGUACUUCAAGGAUAUGGUUUGACUGAAACAUGUGCUGGUACCUUUGUCUCUAUACCACAUGAGAUGCGUAUGCUGGGUACAGUGGGUCCUCCUGUUCCAAACGUGGAUGUCUGCCUGGAAUCUGUUCCUGAAAUGGGAUAUGAUGCCCUCUCAAGGACUCCACGUGGAGAAGUAUGUGUAAGGGGGAUACCUUGUUUUCAGGUUACUACAAACGUGAAGAUCUUACAAAAGAAGUCUUUGAAGAUGGAUGGUUCCAUACAGGGGAUGUUGGUGAGUGGCAGCCAAAUGGGAGCCUGAAGAUUAUUGACCGUAAAAAGAAUAUUUUCAAGCUCUCGCAGGGCGAGUAUGUAGCUGUGGAGAAUUUGGAGAAUGUUUAUGGUCUUGUUAGCGCUAUUGACUCGAUCUGGGUCUAUGGAAACAGCUUUGAAUCUUAUCUUGUUGCUGUUGUUAACCCAAAGAAGCAAGCAGUUGAAGAGUGGGCUCAAGAAAACGAAUUAACUGGAGAUUUCAAUUCUUUGUGUGAAAACCCUAAAGUGAAGGAAUACAUUCUUGGAGAGCUCAACAAGAUUGGAAAAGAAAAGAAGCUAAAAGGCUUUGAAUUUAUUAAAGCUGUGCACCUCGAUCCUGAACCAUUUGAUAUGGAACGUGACCUCCUCACACCAACAUUUAAGAAGAAAAGACCCCAAUUGCUCAAAUACUACCAGAAUGUAAUUGACAAUAUGUACAAGAGUGCCAAGUGAGCUUAUAGCAAGAGCAUAUACUUUCACUCUUUCGACGAAAUACGCGUUCCAGUUUGCCGUUUAUUGGUAUAACUUCCAACUCUUCUCCCUCUGUCUAACCUGUUUUGGCUUUGGGAUGUACAUAUUUACAGUGUACCGAACUGAGGAAUUAAUAAUGUACGUGAACUAUAUUUAUUUUAAAUCCUAAUGUUUUAUUUAUUUUCCUGGAGAAUUGUGAAGUUUCUUAUUCACAGAACGGGAACAGUAGAUUAGAUGCGAAGCUGAUUUAUAAAGUUUUACGCUCGUGUUCCCCA
This is a non-coding RNA of Coffea arabica (coffee), 2085 nucleotides long. The record is from RefSeq and is a predicted model, not a curated record. NCBI's taxonomy places the organism in Eukaryota, Viridiplantae, Streptophyta, Magnoliopsida, Gentianales, Rubiaceae.